CUGCAUCUCCCUUCCUGUUCCCCAUUCUCACUCACUUCUCCCUAGUGGAUAGCACCGACGCCGACUCCCAUCUACUCAUCGUUCGCGGAGGAUGAGGGCAGGAAUAAUAUCUCUUCUGGUGGCUUCACCGUCAUGCCCUCCACCCGGGCCGCCGUAUCAACGGGACCUUGCACGGCUCCCUCUUAUCUCAGCUCCACCCGCGCCAUCGUCAACAACGUGGCUCCUCUCCAAUGCCUAUAGCGCCUCCUCGCGCGGCUGCAGCGGCUCUCCUGGCCGGUAGAGGAGGUGUGGGAGGCCGCGGAUUCCUCGGCGUGGUCCUACUCUCCAAUGAGGAGGCCCUGCGAGGAGACGGCUCCACUGCUCCGAGGUCCUCUGACCAACUGCUGCUGACACCAUGGAGACUUUUGUCAUAUAUGGGAGAAUAAAGGCGUGUUUGGAUCAAGUCCUAGAUGAAAAAUGCCUAGCCUGGAGCCUGCCUGGGGACUGCCUGGACUGUGUUUGUUUCAUGUCCUGGAGAAACAGAUGCUGGCCUGGCCUGGUUCGGGUGGACCUUGAUUAGCCUGGGUUGUUUGUCCAGGCACCUUGCUUAGCCUGGGCGAGGCAUCCGAAACAGGUAGCCUGGCGCUCAAGCUCAGCUGCCUGGGCAUCAAUUCCAAGGCUAAUCAGCCGUUGCAUGUUCAUUUGUCACUUUAUGGCCCAUUAAAAAAUUCACCAGGCGAGGCUAUGAACCAAACACAACGAGUUUAAGCUAGCCUGGCCAGGCAAGAGAACACCACCGUAUCAGGAAGCUCCCAGGCUUGAAAUUUUUCCAGGCAUAACGCCCAGGCCACCAUCCAAACACACCCUAAAACCUGAGGAGGCUGUUGUAGCAAUAUUGUCUUCUCUACCAGAUGAAGUUGUGGAUAGAGUUUGUACGGUAUUGCCAUCUAAAGAUUUAGUUUCUAAGAGGAGGAAAAAACUGGAAUUCCUUCAGAUGCAGGAAGAACUUACCAAGGUGAUAUAUAUGUCUUACAAAUAUUAAAAAUGGACUAUUUUUACUUCAUCUGCAAAUGCAGCCAUGAUCUUGUCGUAGAUAUGAAACUCACAUUUGUCGUACUUCUGGUAAGCUAAUAAUGAGUAGGGCAUGUAGUCACUCUUCUGUUACUAAUUUAUUGUCUUGGCUCAAAACUCAUUCAUAUUAUGGACUUCUUUUGUCUGAAACCCCAUGUAACAUACGCUACUAUUACAUAUCCUUUCAUGCUUUAUGCUAUGAAUGAUUUUUUUC
Molecule: non-coding RNA, 1264 nt
Organism: Triticum urartu
Lineage: Eukaryota; Viridiplantae; Streptophyta; Magnoliopsida; Poales; Poaceae
Source: RefSeq, a predicted model, not a curated record